This 638-nucleotide unclassified non-coding RNA is filed under the name Hevea brasiliensis (rubber tree). Lineage: Eukaryota; Viridiplantae; Streptophyta; Magnoliopsida; Malpighiales; Euphorbiaceae. The record is from RNAcentral.
UGCCUUUUGGUUCUUUGGCCUGGCUCUGAGGGUCAGCUCUCCCUUAAUUGGAUUCGUUUGUAUAUGGUUACCUUUUGUGUUUGGCUGAUUGCAUGCAGGUAGAUUUUCAAUGAGAGGGCAUUUUUUUGUUGUUUCCUAUGUGUUGGGUUUGGAGUUGAGAUUUUAGGACAAGAGGCGGCAGUAGAUGGUCUCCAGUAGGAAGCUUCAUCCAUUUUGCGGAUUUUUGUCAUUUUUCUAUUCUUUUGGUUUGCUCUAUGUGGCGAGACGGUUUAUAUUGCUCUGGCCAACUUGUAUCUUUGGGAUCUGCUUCUAUACCAUGGCUGUGAAUGUCAUUCUUUCAGCAUUGUAUGCCAAGGAGUUCCAUGAUGGCACCUUCAUUGUUGUUGAGUGGUUUCUUCGUUGUUGUUGAGGAAGUUGGCAAGAAUCCUUGCUGAGUUUAGGUGCUGGUAGAGAUGGGCUUUUUAGCUCUUUGCAAUGCUUGUAGUAUUCAAUUGGCUUUGGUCUCUAUUCAGUUCCUUUGGCAGUAGCAACUAUGGAAACAAUGUGCUGCUGUGUUCUUCCCUUUUCUCUUAGGGUUUCUAGUUGGGGUGGGUUUGAUUGUGGGUUGGUCUAGUUGUUUCCGACGAGUUUGAUUUCUG